Molecule: ribosomal RNA, 390 nt
Filed under: Triticum aestivum (bread wheat)
Lineage: Eukaryota; Viridiplantae; Streptophyta; Magnoliopsida; Poales; Poaceae
Description: partial small subunit ribosomal RNA
Source: RNAcentral
AUGGAUGAACAAUGGAUAGUAUUCAGCGACUUCAAUGAAAUUUUAUUCACGCACGAAAAGGAAGGAGGGGCACUCAGAGAGCAAAGAUGUAUGCAAGCAUUCAGGGAUGUUCUGUGCGACUGUGAGCUAGAAGAUUUGGGUGGCACGGGUGAUGCCUACAGAUGGAGUAGAGGGAGAAUAAAGGAAAGGUUGGAUAGAGACAUAUGUAACUCACGGUGGAACCUGCUAUUUCCUAAUGUGGGUGUCAUAAAUGGUGAAAUGACAAAGUCGGAUCAUCAUCCUUUGGUGAUUUAUACUGAAUUAUACACAAAGACGAAUCGGUCCCUGAUGUCUACUACACAACCUUCUUCUUGUAGACGUUGUUGGGCCUCCAAGUGCAGAGGUUUGUAG